Molecule: ribosomal RNA, 449 nt
Filed under: uncultured bacterium
Lineage: Bacteria
Description: partial 16S ribosomal RNA
Rfam family: Bacterial small subunit ribosomal RNA
Source: RNAcentral
AACGAACGCUGGCGGCAUGCCUAACACAUGCAAGUCGAACGAGAUCUUCGGGUCUAGUGGCGCACGGGUGUGUAACGCGUGGGAAUCUGCCCUUUGGUUCGGAAUAACAGUUGGAAACGACUGCUAAUACCGGAUGAUGACGAAAGUCCAAAGAUUUAUCGCCAGAGGAUGAGCCCGCGUAGGAUUAGCUAGUUGGUGUGGUAAAGGCGCACCAAGGCGACGAUCCUUAGCUGGUCUGAGAGGUUGAUCAGCCACACUGGGACUGAGACACGGCCCAGACUCCUACGGGAGGCAGCAGUGGGGAAUAUUGGACAAUGGGCGAAAGCCUGAUCCAGCAAUGCCGCGUGAGUGAUGAAGGCCUUAGGGUUGUAAAGCUCUUUUACCCGGGAUGAUAAUGACAGUACCGGGAGAAUAAGCUCCGGCUAACUCCGUGCCUGCCGCCGCCGUAA